This 76-nucleotide transfer RNA is filed under the name archaeon. RNAcentral's name for it is "tRNA-Gln". It matches the Rfam family "tRNA". Rfam says of the family: Transfer RNA (tRNA) molecules are approximately 80 nucleotides in length. Their secondary structure includes four short double-helical elements and three loops (D, anti-codon, and T loops). Further hydrogen bonds mediate the characteristic L-shaped molecular structure. tRNAs have two regions of fundamental functional importance: the anti-codon, which is responsible for specific mRNA codon recognition, and the 3' end, to which the tRNAs corresponding amino acid is attached (by aminoacyl-tRNA synthetases). tRNAs cope with the degeneracy of the genetic code in two manners: having more than one tRNA (with a specific anti-codon) for a particular amino acid; and 'wobble' base-pairing, i.e. permitting non-standard base-pairing at the 3rd anti-codon position. The record is from RNAcentral. RNAcentral also lists the same sequence under 2 other names.
AGCCCGGUGGUGUAGCGGUCAAUCAUGGAGGGCUCUGGACCCUCUGACGGGAGUUCGAAUCUCCCCCGGGCUACCA